AUGAAAAAUAAAACAUACCUUACGAUCAUGCUCUUCUGCAAAGUACUCACGGUUGACAUCACUCCUUGGAAUUGCAUCAUUCGAAUUGAUCGCGAGUGCCGUAUCGCGAACCUGAACUGGCAGACCAUAUUCAAGGUCCAGAAGGCAGACCUGGCAGACGUUUUUCAACUUGCAGCACGUCUGGCAGAUCUCUGUCUUCUUGUACCUUGCAUCCCGACCAGGUCUCCAACGGAAGACAGUAAAAGGACGCGCACAGAUCUUGCAUUCCUUGUCAUAUUCUGCUCUGAGCUGCCAACGCAAACAGGAAAACUGGUAAAUAAUCCGUCUUACAAAGAACUGAAGCAAUAG
This 348-nucleotide ribosomal RNA is filed under the name Triticum aestivum (bread wheat). RNAcentral's name for it is "partial small subunit ribosomal RNA". The record is from RNAcentral. Lineage: Eukaryota; Viridiplantae; Streptophyta; Magnoliopsida; Poales; Poaceae.